CAAUUUUUUGAUGGACUUGGCAUUCUUUAAACUGAACCUUGACUCAGGUUUUGAUCAUGUGAAUUUAUCCAGAGGUGGAUUGUGAGUAAAGAGAAUGGAUAGUAACAGACAACUAGCAAUCAGCUACAAAUCUCAACAGAGCCAGAGGCUUUACCAGCACUCACUUGCCUGUUAAUAUCAGUUGCUUCAGACUUGAAGUGUAAGAAUUGGAGGGAAAGAAAAUGGCAGAUGGUGCAACUGAUCUGCAGAGAAGCUAAUUAACUUGCCCAAAGUUAUGGAGCUAAGGAAUGGCUUUAGAAAGCAAAAGAAAAAUUUUUUAUUAAGAAAUGAAAAGAAAAAAGACGCAGUAUGGACUCAGACUGAUAAACCAUUUGCAUGAGAGAACUAUACACCAUUUGAAAAAGAGCUUUUUUGCAAGGUGUGGUGGCUAACUCCUGUAACCCUGGCAACUCGAAAGGCUGAGGCAGGAGGAUCACUU
Molecule: long non-coding RNA, 478 nt
Filed under: Homo sapiens (human)
Lineage: Eukaryota; Metazoa; Chordata; Mammalia; Primates; Hominidae
Description: HSALNT0316232
Source: RNAcentral